Molecule: long non-coding RNA, 488 nt
Filed under: Homo sapiens (human)
Lineage: Eukaryota; Metazoa; Chordata; Mammalia; Primates; Hominidae
Description: HSALNT0212219
Source: RNAcentral
GGUGUGUAGGGGCAACCCACCCCUACACUCCAUAAUCAAAAGAACGUCAUGCCACAUGUUCUAGAAGUUAAAAACCUCAAUUAACAAAGAGGUCUCUUUCAGUGUUUCACUCCACUGGACAAACGGUAUCCCUUUGUAGAUUCAAAAUAAUUUUCUGGACAGAUUUAGUGACAUCUUUCCAAUGUAUAUUAUUACUACUCCUUUCAAACAAUCUUUUUCAAGUCUGCUAAUUUAGAACUACAGGGUCAACUCUCCCCUGUCCUGUUGACAGAGCCCUUCUUCCCCUGCUGUCUACAAGGCAGUCUUAGAGGGGUCUUAAGUGUAUAGUUAGGUAAAAAAGGAGACCCUAUAAGUCCUGAUAUGUGAGAGACCUGGGGUAUGGCGUCUCUUUGUCUUUGGUUGGCAGGCACUCUCUCUGAUCCUUCCUGCAAGGCAGAUCUUAUAAAGAACAAUGUCGACCGGGUUAAAGUGAACUUUGUUGUCUCCAC